Drosophila melanogaster (fruit fly) is the source of this 505-nucleotide non-coding RNA. The record is from Ensembl. NCBI's taxonomy places the organism in Eukaryota, Metazoa, Arthropoda, Insecta, Diptera, Drosophilidae.
GACAGCGGCAACAGCAGCAACAAGAACAAUGGGGCGUGUUACUACAACAAGAAAAUUGCGGUUCCAACAACAGCAGCAUCUCCAGUAGCAGUAGCAUCAUCAGGAGCAACAACAACAGCAACGACGACGACGUCGGCAGCUACAGCAGCAACGCCGGCAAAAAGUCAUCAAAAGGCUACUAAAGGUUGACGCAGGCAAUGGCCAGUGAGUGUCCCCAUCGCCUUCCAUGCCUCAGCCACCAUCGCAUCGGCAUCAACGGCAUCCCACCACCGUCAGUAGGUAUUCCCUUCCCAGCUGCACACUGAAAAAAAAGCUCAGGACAACACUCAAGACCACAUCUGUUUGAUAUGUUUUAAGGGAAUUCUGUUGCCGUUGUCCUACGAUAAUUCGACAUGAGGGAGAGGCGUUUGACAUUCUGGUACCAUUUUCCGGCAACAGCAUCGUCGUAUUUGGGUCUCGAUCUUGAUAACUCCCUCAAGCAUUUGAACUACGUUUCGAACUUACC